This 276-nucleotide ribosomal RNA is filed under the name uncultured bacterium. RNAcentral's name for it is "partial 16S ribosomal RNA". It matches the Rfam family "Bacterial small subunit ribosomal RNA", at positions 80 to 354 of the family's 1533-position model. The record is from RNAcentral.
UUUCUCCGCCGGCGACCGGCGCACGGGUGAGUAACACGUAUGCAACCUGCCCCUGUCAGGGGGACAACCCGGCCGAAAGGCGGGCUAAACCCGCGUACAUGCCACCGGGGCAUCCCGGAGGCAGGAAAGGCUUCGGCCGGACAGGGAUGGGCAUGCGGCGCAUUAGGCAGUAGGCGGGGUAACGGCCCACCUAACCGACGAUGCGUAGGGGUUCUGAGAGGAAGGUCCCCCACACUGGUACUGAGACACGGACCAGACUCCUACGGAAGGCAGCAG